Molecule: ribosomal RNA, 66 nt
Filed under: Bacillus subtilis
Lineage: Bacteria; Bacillati; Bacillota; Bacilli; Caryophanales; Bacillaceae
Description: partial 23S ribosomal RNA
Source: RNAcentral
GGUCUGAGGUGGAAGUGUGGCGACACAUGGAGCUGACAGAUACUAAUCGAUCGAGGGCUUAACCAU